Long non-coding RNA from Mya arenaria, 514 nucleotides. RefSeq lists it as uncharacterized. The transcript has 3 exons. NCBI's taxonomy places the organism in Eukaryota, Metazoa, Mollusca, Bivalvia, Myida, Myidae. The record is from RefSeq and is a predicted model, not a curated record.
CGUAAGAAAAUAGUCCAUCAUGGCCGACCAAGAAGAUGUUCAAACAACCAAGAGAUAUGUUAGUCCAAAGACAGAAUGAGGAGCGAACUUUUACCACUUAUUUGUGUAGAAGAGUAUGGUACCAGGGGUGCAGCUGACUCUGAUUCCCGGCUUGUUCAAAUGAAAAAAGGCAGAUGAGGCACUGGAAUCCGAAUGUAAUAAAAAAUGCCAUUGUAUGAGGAUUGACCUGCAAUGCAUGGCAAUCAUCUUAACACAACUGCAACGCCUUCCUUGGAAAAAUGAGUGCAAGAUGGAAACAAAGCGUUUAGUGGAACAUCUUGUCAUCUCAAAUAUUUGAUGACUUACAUACUGAUGUCCCAAAUUCAAGGUUGUGAGUUCAAGACCUCCAAGAUACUUUCUCUUGACCUCAGGAAAAGGAUGUCCAUACUUGUUUCUUCUUAGGCAACAGACUUAAGAGUGAUUUUGUAAGCUUCCAGCUUGCAUAGCAAUCUGAUAAGGCAUAGAAUAAGUACUA